Molecule: RNA transcript, 4750 nt
Organism: Canis lupus familiaris (dog)
Lineage: Eukaryota; Metazoa; Chordata; Mammalia; Carnivora; Canidae
Gene: DONSON
Gene name: DNA replication fork stabilization factor DONSON
Exons: 12
Source: RefSeq, a predicted model, not a curated record
CCCGAGCCGCGCGUCAUGGCCGUCUCGGUGCCCGGCUACUCGCCCGGUUUCAGGAAGCCUCCCGCUACGCUGCGGCUCCGACGGAAGAGGGCCCGCAGCCACGGCUCCGCCGCCGCGCCCGGGGAGCAGCCCGAGCCUGCGCCCCGCCGCGCCGCUCUGGCGGCCGGGCUGCUCCUGCGCCCCUUCCCGGCGGCGGGCGGCGGUGGCGGUGGCGGCGGCGGCCCGGCAGCGGCCCGCAGGAACCCCUUCGCCCGCCUGGACAACCGGCCGCCGGCCUCCGCGGAGCCCCCCGACGGGCCGCCCGGCGGUCGGCAGGAGGCGCAGGCCGCGUUUGUAGAUUCUAAUCAAGAAAAUGAUUCGCUGUGGGAGGAGAAGUUUCCUGAAAGAACAGACGUUACUGAAUUACUGCAGACUCCACAAGUAUCAUUCUCCGAAUCUGAUACUCCAUCCUCAGAAAGUACUGAGUUACCUGUGGACUGGAGUAUUAAAACUCGACUCCUUUUCACCUCUUCUCAACCCUUUACCUGGGCAGAUCACUUGAAAGCACAAGAAGAGGCCCAAGGUGUCAUCCAGCAUUGUAGGGCAACAGAAGUUACUUUGCCUCAAAGUAUACAGGAUCCCAGACUCUCCACUCAGCUCCGUUGUGCCUUUCAGCAGAGCCUAAUCUAUUGGUUGCACCCUGCCUUUCCCUGGCUACCACUGUUCCCUCGCAUUGGAGCUGAUAGAAAAAUGGCUGGAAAGAUAAGCCCUUGGUCAAAUGAUGAAACCUUGCAACACAUUUUAAUGAGUGACUGGUCUGUGAGCUUCACUUCUCUCUAUAAUCUACUGAAGACAAAGCUUUGCCCAUAUUUCUACGUUUGUACCUAUCAGUUUACGAUCUUGUUCCGAGCAGCAGGAUUAGCAGGAAAUGAUGUAAUCACAGCUCUCAUCUCUCCUACAACUAGAGGCAUAAGAGAAGCUAUGAAAAAUGAAGGUAUUGAAUUUUCUCUGCCGCUAAUAAAAGAAAAUGGCCAUGAGAAGAAAAAGGCAUCUGGAACAAGCCUGGGACAUGGGGAGGAACAAGUAAUCAGUGAUGAGGAUGAAGAUGAGAGCUUUUCCUGGCUGGAAGAGAUGGGUGUGCAAGAUAAAAUUAAAAAACCAGACAUACUCUCUAUCAAGCUACGAAAAGAGAAACACGAAGUGCAAAUGGAUCACAGACCUGAGUCUGUUGUGUUGGUGAAGGGAAUGAAUACCCUUACAUUGCUGAAUUUCUUGAUCAACUCUAAGAGUUUAAUUGCUAGUUCAGGUCCGCAGGCAGGACUUCCACCAACCCUCUUAUCACCUGUAGCUUUCCGAGGUGCCACAAUGCAAAUGCUAAAGGCAAGAAGUGUAAAUGUGAAGACACAAGCUGUUUCUGGAUACAAAGAUCAAUUUAGUUUGGAGAUUACGGGUCCUAUCAUGCCUCAUUCUCUACAUUCAGUAACCAUGCUACUCAGAUCUUCACAGAAUGGGUCAUUUUCUGCUGGACUAUAUACACAUGAGCCAACUGCUGUAUUUAAUAUCUGCCUGCCAGUGAAUAAAGUAUUGGAUAAGGAAACUGUUCUUGAGGAGCUUGCUAACUGUGGAUUGCACCCUAAGACCCUGGAUCAACUUAGUCAAACACCAAUACUGGGAAAAUCAUCUUUAAGACAUGUGGAAAUGAAUGACUACGUUUAUAAUUGGAGAUCCUGAACACCAAAUGCCAACAAAAUACGAAUUCAAGUGGGGGAUAGGACAAGAAGAAAUUCAAAUGUACUCUCACCUGACAGAUCUUUCAUUGCAGCAGAGAAGUUCCCGGACCUCUUUUGUGCUCUUUCUCCUACUGCAACAAGACCUUUAAAAUAAAAAGGCAGUGUUCACUGAAUAAACUCCAAAGCAUCAUUUUAAAUUAUUAUAUACAAUGAUUCCCUCUGUAGGACCCUAAAUCUCAACCUAUGCCUUCCAAUAAAAUACUCAACCCCCACUACCUUUGAUUUUUAUAUAGUUUACCUUGUUUUGCUGUUUCAAUGUAUAUAAGUUAUACUUUAUGUUCAUAUAACUUGGUAAUAGAAAUUGCUUAAGAACAAAUAUUCACAGAACACAAAAACCUAGUAGCAUAUGAAUACACCUAUUAAGUGCCAAAGAUAACACCUUUAGGAUUGUUUCUUUUUAAUAAGUUUAAAAUACAGUGGCUAUUUAUUUCAAAUGCUUUCUAAAGGCUUCCCAUUCCUUAAAGCACCCUGCUGUUAAUUAAGUUCCCCAAAAGGUGAGGAUUUUAGGCCACACACCCUCCAAACAAAGAAGUGUCACUAUAAACGGGUCCAUAUUUUCCCCAGCAAACAGCCCCUGACUUAUCAAAUGAAGAUGUUCAUAGAAGACAAUCUCACUGCAUAACCUCCCUUUCCAAUGGGAUUUCACUGUCUCAUUAGCCAAAGUCCAUGCUUUCCUGCUUCCAUUUCUCCUAGGGGGAAUUCUUCAAUCAGCUCUUCACUAAAUCUGCUAGUACUCUUCUCCAAACCCAACACCUAUUACACAAUUCCAACGAGGAUGUUCCUGGAAUUAUGUAAUGCAUUCACAGAUGUUUUCUUAUAAACAAAUCACCUUGUAUGACUCAAAAAAAUCUAUUCAACUUGUAUAUGUAAUACAAUGUCAAAUAUGACAUAAUCCGUACAAUGUCCUUUUCUAAUUCAGUUUGAAUUAAUGCUACAGCAGCACAGAACGAUUCUCAUGCUAUUUCCAACCUACUUGAGAAUCCUUACAAUAAAUCCCUCUAAUUUUAAAAAAAAGAGGUAUCACAGUAUUCUAUGUGGAUGACAAUGUAGAAAUUCUGAUGCAAAAUGCUUGCUUUAUGACACACACAAUUUGGUCCAAGCUAGUUGGUUUCCAAAUUCACUGACACAGAAUAAUUUAACUGCAUUAACUUCAACUUAUCUUUCUGAUUGAAAAGAUAAGGAAAAUUCUAGGUUUAAGCUUUCUAGUCUUUAAAAAUCAGGCUUAUACAAUCUAUUGAAAUCACACUGAGAUGACAGCCCCAUUUAAUUCUACAUAAGACAUUAUUCCAAGGGAAGAAAUUAUUUAAGAGGUACCAACUGGCUGUUAUCAAUGAGCACUAAGUGUCUGUGUGUGUGCAUAUAUACAUAUAUAUACAUGUUUGUUUGCUUUUUUUUUUUUUUACACAAGUGGAGGGAGGGCCCAGAGAGACAGAAUCCCAAGAGAUUCUCUUUCCCGUACACCCCACACACAGAGGCCAAUGUAGGGCUCGACCUCACGACUCUGAGAUCAUGACCUGAGCCAAAAUCAAGAGUUGGACACUUAACUGAGCUAUCCAGACACCCCGCUAAGUAUAUUUUUAAUACUUAGCAACUGCAUGGGGGCAAUGCAGAAGGAUUUCCAGGAGUGGCAAAGUACUAGUAAGAUAAAAGUUCCAAGGUGCCGCCCUGAGCACAAGACAAUAUGACAAGCUGACACUGCUGUCAGCAACUGGCCUAUUCUCCAGCCCCAACCCAAGAAAAUUCAAUGACAGAGCUUAAAAAGAGGGAGAUACCAAAACUGUUUAUAGGAGAAGACAAAACAACACUCUAAUAGGAAAUAAGGAGAAUAGAAUACGUGGUAUAAAAUAAGAAGGAAAAAAAAAUACAGCCUAGAAAUGACAAGUAUGUUACCUGUCACAAGAAAACAAAACGGGGAUACCAUUUACCAAAACUGUAAUCUAACUGAAAUUUCAAUCCCACUGAUAUAUGCACAUUUCCAUAAUAUUUAGCAACUAACGUUAAGACCACCUUUUAGCUCAAAUUAGUGACUCCCAUCUGUAUCUAUACAAGCUGCCACAAAUGGAUGAGCGCCUUUUGUUUCUUAAUAGCUGUAGAUAUGCUCCAGUUAAGCAUCAGGGACAUCAAAAUGUAGAAAGGUUACUUUGGGGGAAAAUAUUUUUUUUCAAGGGGCACUUGGGUGGCUCUGAUGGUAUAGCGUGUGACUCAUGAUCUUAGGGUCAUGAGAUCAAGCCCACAUUGGGCAGAGCUUGCUUUAAAAAAAACUACGAAGGUAAUGAAACCCUAAAUAUUAAGGAGAGAUAAUCAACAUUCCCAAAACAAUGGGUUACCUUUUCGGUCUGUCUUAAAAUCAACCAGGAUAGGUUCCUUAUUUCCUUCUUUGUUUUUUCCUAAUCCUUCUCCUUCUCUCCAGCCCAUUUUUCUCAUCAAAACGGCUCCCAUUCCUCCAGUUACCGGGGCUGCUCUUAAGAACUGAUCCUAUCCAAAGAAAGAAAGCUUUGUAAAUUAUAUGCUGGGGAGAAAGCAUGCCAAUGAUGUGUGACUAGACAUUAAGUUCAACAAGGUGCUCUGAUGGAAGGAGGCAGCUGUGGAGGUAAAAACAUACCCCUGGUUCAGUUCCUUAUUUGGUGCAGGCCAUGCAGUGUUGAUGUAUAAAGAGAAAAGUUAGCUGAUGCUUGGGUAUCAACUGCCUUGUUGCUACACACCUAGAAUGACUUUUACUUACUUCCAGGUUCAUCCGCCCCUCUUUUCCAGGCAACACUCCUAAAAAAAAGGGCAACUGUGCAAAGUAUAAUGCAAAUCCCCAAAUAACCCAGGCUUCCAACUCGGUUUCCAAUCUCUACUAUGUUCAUGUUUCUUUACCCCAGUGUGUAUACAGUUCACCAAAAAGCUGCUUAAUCUAAUGAACCUAUAAUAGUAAACAAUACCCUUCGGGUCAUGUCCAAAUCAUUUAAUUCCAGAAAAUAAAGGUUUUUUUAAAUCAA